Molecule: long non-coding RNA, 1530 nt
Filed under: Canis lupus familiaris (dog)
Lineage: Eukaryota; Metazoa; Chordata; Mammalia; Carnivora; Canidae
Description: lncRNA (ENSCAFG00030008454.1)
Source: RNAcentral
CAUCUCUCUUUUAUUUAUUUAAUACAUACGUUAAGUAACAGAAUUCUGAGCUCAUUGUCAAGCUGAGAAAGAGUUUGUGCAGUAUUGUACCGGGUACUAUGGAUUAGGGGCAGUGAUGUGCUGAUAAACCAGCUCUCUAAAAAAGUGAAAUAAUAAUAACAACAAUAACAGUAAAUAAUAAUAAUAGUACAAUCCUGAUUUGUAGCAUUUUUCAAUGUCCAUGGCCUAAGUACUCCCACUAUGGCCAAUCUCAAGGUGCCACUGUGACAUCAGCAAAAGUGCAAUUGGGAACAGAGGUGUUGAGAGGAGAUGAUAAACAAUCAACUCUUCAAAGCCAGUGAGAGUCCCUGGCUUCUGAUGGGCCUCUGACAUUUGUUCUGACAUCUGGGAAAAUGAAAAAUUCAACGUUGCCAGUGAGGACACACUGAGAAGGCAGCCAGCCAUCUGCAAGCCAGGAGAAGUGUUCUCAACAGAAACCAAAUUGUCCAGAACUUUGAUCUUGGACUUUCAGCUUCCAAAACUAAGGAGAAAAUUGAUGCAUAAAGAAUUGGAGUAUUUACUAUCUCAAUAAAUACUUAUCUGGAAUUAAGGUAAGUAUUUGAAAUAAUAUUUAAAAUAUAUAGACAUUUAUGGCUUAACAAGGUCUUAAUGAAUCAAAUACAGUGAGAACUAUUUUCUACAUUAUUAUAAAAAUAAGGAAAUAUUGUUAAAAUAUCAAAACUAAUAGAAAUUUAUUAGCAAUCCUUAUUCUUGAGUUUUUCUGAACCAACCAGUAAUUUUCCCAAAGGGCCUUCCAUUGCCCCUUGGAUUAAAGAAACUAAUCAUAAUCUCUUCCUGAAAAAUAAUUCCAAGACCAACUGUAAGUCAUAUAGCUUUGUGUUUUCCUUAUACUUGCCUUCUUUCCAGAGUCAAGAAUCAGAAAUAUUGGUAUAGGUAGAAUUUGGUCAAGCUCAUGAAGACAAACCUACUUAAAGAGAAUGAGAAUUAAGUAUAUAUACACACAAAGUGUAACACAUGAUAAAUGAUAUUUUAAGUGUUAAGCCUACCAAAAUUAUUAUUUUUCUCUUUCCCAUAUAAUCACAAUUUUGUGAUUAUUUAAUGCAUUAACAUAAAUAAACUGAUUUAAUGGAGAUUCCUUUAUUUAGAAUAAUUUUUCAUGUAUUUCAAAGGUUAUUAUCAUCAUUGAGAUAUUGAUGCAGCUACCAUCCAGUUAUGUUCAACUGGAUGUAUUUCUGCUGCACCCCUACACACACCCCCACAUUAAAAGCCCUUUGGAAUGAGAGGCAUUUGUCACUAAGGUAACUCAGUUCUCAUAACUGAAAAUCUAAGUAAAUGGAGUUUACAAUGCAGAGUGGUGAAACAUGCAUAUAAUAAUUAUACUUAAUUUCUUAUGAAACUAGGUUUCUCUCUCUCUCUCUCUCUCUCUCUGGUUUACAAAAGAAAGCAACAGGAUCCAUAGUGCCAAGUAUUUAAAAGCUGAGUACUGAAAUAUAUAUUAAGGCAUUUUUAGAAGAUUUUAUUUAUUUAUUU